AAGUGUUAGAAAAUAAAUUAAUAUGUUUUUGAAUUUUACUAAAAUUUGACUCACUUAACUUUUGUAAACUUA
This 72-nucleotide transfer RNA is filed under the name Ulva gigantea. Its description in RNAcentral is "tRNA-Ser". The record is from RNAcentral. Lineage: Eukaryota; Viridiplantae; Chlorophyta; Ulvophyceae; Ulvales; Ulvaceae.